Long non-coding RNA from Pseudopipra pipra, 2234 nucleotides. RefSeq lists it as uncharacterized. The record is from RefSeq and is a predicted model, not a curated record. The transcript is spliced from 2 exons. Lineage: Eukaryota; Metazoa; Chordata; Aves; Passeriformes; Pipridae.
CAUCGGCUCCCGCCGCCGGGAAGCGGCCGGGCAUGAGCUCCGGCUCCCUCGGCGGCCACAGCGGUGGAGGAGGCGAAUGGGGGCCCCGUGAGCGGCGACCUUCGCAGGGCGCUGCCGCGGCGGGAGAUGUGCUUGCUCCCAGCGGCGCCAGGAGCAGCAUGUUCCCCGGCGCCGACAGCGCUUGCAGCGCGGCCGGGCAGCCCGAGGCGGCGAGCGCCGCUGCCCCCGGCCCGCUGGGCUCGCACGGCCCCGGCGGCGGCGAGGAGGAGGCGGCGGUGGAACGGGGCUGAGCGCUGCGCUCCCGGGUGGAUAGGGGACGGGAUGGCGGCGGGAGUGAAGCCGGUCCUCCCUCCUCCUGUCCUUCUUCCUUCCUGCACUGCUCGAGAGCCCCACAAUACUGUGAAGAAUCACUGUUUUUCUCGCUUCCCGCUGCGGGGCACGCGGUUUUUGCCCAGGACGCGGAAUUCGCGGUGAUCGUCCCAUGGUUCCCAGCUGCUCACCUGCUGUCCUACAGAGGUGAUGGGCACGCGCAGUCAAAUCCUGGCCCGGGUCACUCUCUUGGUUCAGCUGGGCUAUGUCACCGGAGUUCCAGCUGCAUUUUCUGGAUUAACUUUGCAUGCUGCUUGUUCAUGGCACCAUUCGUGACAUACUCGGGCACGGACUCCAUGUGGGAUAAUGGAAUCAUUUAUUACAGUUCUUUCAUGGUUUAUAUACCCCGUUACAUCAGCAGUAAAUUCCUGUUAGUAACUUUUCUCUAUAUCUACUUUUUAGUUAAGCAUUCACUGUCCAUGAAAAUAUAACACUACAGCAGUUUCCUACACACAAGGAUACGUCUCUCCACGACCACAUUUAUCUUGCCAAGUUCCCCUUCUAAGUUUCUCCCAGGGUCAUAUAAUCUCAGUUCCCUAUAUCUUGUCUCUGGUUAGAGGGAUGUGAUAUAUCCUGGACAAUCUUCUGGACUCAGGACAAAACUGAUUUUUUAAAACACUGGAGGGAUCUCAAGAAUAGAGGCUCUUUUUUUUGUUUGAUUUGUUUUUUUUUUUCCCAAGACAGAGGACCUGGAGGAAAUGAUUGAGGAGAGAAAAAACACUUUCCUCCCAUAAUUGAUGCUGAGUCAUUUCUCUGUUGGAUGAUGAGGCAGAAACUCAAUUAUGGCAGAAGACAGACCGUGAUGAAGUUUAUCUGGCAGAACAACUUUCAUAUUUGGAAAUCCAAAAUCCAAGGACAGAUUGGACUGGAAACUGGAUUUAAAAUCAGGCCUUCCCAUCCAGGUGCUCCCAGUGUCUCAGUAGCCAUUUAUAAGAUUCAUAUGAUAAUUUACCAGUGUUCUCCCAUGGGUGAAACAAAUCUUUUUCUCUCUGCUCAUUCUUGGCUUGGCUGGUUGACCUCAAAGUGUCCUGCCAAAUGUGGUGUCUGCUUAGCUACAUAGGGAGAACUACUCUGCCAUAGGAGAGAGUUAAUGACUUGGACGGUGCUGCCUUUUGUGUUAAAUUGACCUUGUGUCAGCUGCAAAGGCUGUGCAAUCAGCUCUGUUGUGUGCUAAGGCAGGGUCUAGAAUCAUCCUGUCCCUCCUCCACCUGGGCCUUCAAUGAUGUUCUGUUGAACCACGGUCCUCAGAACCAUUGUACUUCACAAAGUGCCUGCACAGGAUGAAACUUUCUUAUGUUAAAUCAGUCUUUUUGCAUGAAAGGCUCCCCUGGCUGUAUAUCUAGGCUUGCCUGUUGGUCUUAGAUUUCUUUUCUUGUGCCAGGAGAGCCCCAUGGGUUGCUUCCUGUGUCUCUACCACCCUGGGCUCAGCUGUACCUUCUUAACUCUUGCAUGGUAUUUAAUGUCAACAAGUGGAAAAAGCAUUGCUCUUCUCUCAGAUAUAUGACAUAUCUUCUCUCUCUAACAGCUUAGGGAAAGACUCUUGUGAUUGCUUCUUGCAUUUGUUAAAUAAGUAUAUUCCCAUGAGUGUUUUGGGCAGAGAGCUUUGCCACAAUGUCUUGUCCUGCACUUAGCCCUGCCUAUUAAAAGAGAGACUGGUCUCCAUCAAACAGCUUUCUGAAAUAUUUCUCCUAGUCCUUGAAAAAAAACCCCACAAAUAUAUUGAUCCAUGUGCAGGGUUUUUGGAAGAAUCUUGCAUGAGAGAUUUAUUGGGUUUCAGCAACGAUUGCUCUGCUCAGCUUUUGCCAAACACUCAAGCUCUUUGUUUAGUUGUCUUGUGUUGACAAAUAAAAUGUGUAUGCAAUUAC